This is a long non-coding RNA of Onychostoma macrolepis, 1947 nucleotides long. RefSeq lists it as uncharacterized. The transcript has 4 exons. Lineage: Eukaryota; Metazoa; Chordata; Actinopteri; Cypriniformes; Cyprinidae. The record is from RefSeq and is a predicted model, not a curated record.
AGGAUGGUUGGAAAGGUUGCGAGGGAUUUUAUAGUAUACCAAUCCAACGAUGGUAUCGCCGGAUUUUUGAAGAGUAUGGUCCAUAAGUAAAGAACAGAGCAGUGCUCAUGUGGGGAAUAGAAAAGAAAAGCUUUUGUUUGCCAGACUGAGAGGGAUGAGGACAAAGACAUACACUUGUGGAGAAAACGAGAAAGAAAAAGAGCUUGAGGGGCUUGAGCUAAAGAAAAUAGGUGUGUGUGCGAGCGGCGAAGGAAGCGAGAGAGGUUCAAACCUCGAGAGAGAGAGAGAGAGAGAGAGGUGAGCUGGAGGUUUUAAUGUGGCCGUUUGUCGUGUUUAUGUGGCUGUGGCGCUGCUCUCUCCUGCUCUCUGUAUUGAUGGCAGUGCAGCCAGGCUGUAAUUGAUGGCGGCAUAUUGCUGUACUCCGGCAAGUGUAAUGGGCCGAGACACAGAAGCAGAGAGCACAGCAGGAACCCUCUUUAACCCUUUACGUGCUCACACACUCGAACCCUGAAAUGUGUGUGUGUCUCUGUAGGGAAGACGACGGGUGCCACAUUUAUACUACAGCUUGCCAUAGCACUCUGCAAACUGACAAAAGAUGGAGCUGCAUUGGAAUAAACAUAGCAGUACAUAUGUGACCUUUGACCUCUUCAGUGGACCAUAAACUCUUCAUUUAGCUCAUUUUUGAGCAAGUGUGUGAGUGACUGGAGUAGUGGCAGACUGAUGGACGGACGUCGUCCCUCUCUAAUGAUGGCUGAGAGAAGACACCCAUUCCAUCAUCCCCCUCUCAUCUCCUCUUCCCCCAAUCUCAUCUGAUCUGAUAUUAACAGGCAGUAUUAAAAUCAUGCAACGCCUUAACAGACUCAUUUAAAAUUAAUAACUGGUAAUUAUAGAGGAAGCUGGUUCACAGUAGCUUGGGAGGGGGAAGGGACCAAAAGAUGGAGACAAGGAAUAGAGGACAGUGAAUCUGGUCAUAGCUCUAGUGUCAAUACUGAGCACGUAUAUCAUAUCACUUCUCAAAUUAGACCGACUGACAACCCUCCUACAUUAUUUAUUUACUUGUUUUGAAGAUUUUUGUGACUUGUAUUUUAAGAAGUCUUCAAGGGAUAAAAUUUUAAUUCUAUCAUCGUUUACUCACCCCUCAUUUUAAUAUCAAGAAGAUAUUUGAAAGAAUUCUGGUAACCAAACAGUUAACGGUAGCCAUUGAUUUCCAUAGUAUUUUAUUUCCAUGCUGUGGAAGUCAAUGGCUACCGUCAACUGUUACCAGACAUUCUUCAAAAUAUCAAAAAAUGCUCGGCAGAAGAAAGAAACUCAUACAGUUUUGGAACAACAUGAGGGUGAGUAAAUGAUGACAGAAUUUUAAUUUUUGGGUGAACGCUGUCCCUUUAAGUAGUCUUAAUCAGUUGAUUAAAUUCUGGUUGUAAUCAGUAUACAUGUGUUGAUUUUUCAGCUUGCAAAAGACUAAGUCUUUGUCUCAUAUUCUCAAUGUGUUUGGAAAUGUUAUAUACCAUAUACUAUAGUAUGCACUACAUAAUGCAUGCUAUCCAAAAUAGUACAUGAAACAAUAUACACAAUGAUAAUCUGCAAUAAUGUGUUUUAAACAGUAGUAUGCAACAUGUCAAUUUGCCACAUGACCAUAACAUGUUGCAUGAAUUUAGUGAGUCAAAUAUUUUUAAUUUAAUGCAAAAAUGUCUUAACUUCUUGUAGUUUGAUUCAGAUGAACAAAGAAAGUGGUUAAUUUCAAGGUUAUAAUUUCUGGUUCUUUGUUCACACUUGAAACGGAAGGUCAGGUUGACCACAUUGCAUUGUGGGAUAUUCCUGUAUCAAAUGUUAUAGGUCAUCCAUGCAUAAAAAAAAAUUUGCUUAAUGUGCACAGUAUACAUUUUCAAGUACAAGUAAUAUGGCAAUAUGCCAUUCUGAACAUACCCAAAGGGUCUCUGUCUUAUGCAA